UACGUAGGGGGCUAGCGUUGUCCGGAAUCAUUGGGCGUAAAGAGCGUGUAGGCGGUCCGGUAAGUCCGCUGUGAAAGUCGGGGGCUCAACCCUCGAAUGCCGGUGGAUACUGUCGGGCUAGAGUGCGGAAGAGGCGAGUGGAAUUCCUGGUGUAGCGGUGAAAUGCGCAGAUAUCAGGAAGAACACCAACGGCGAAGGCAGCUCGCUGGGACGGUACUGACGCUGAGACGCGAAAGCGUGGGGAGCGAACAGG
RNAcentral lists this ribosomal RNA (253 nucleotides) under uncultured bacterium. RNAcentral's name for it is "partial 16S ribosomal RNA". It matches the Rfam family "Bacterial small subunit ribosomal RNA", at positions 524 to 776 of the family's 1533-position model. The record is from RNAcentral.